This 74-nucleotide transfer RNA is filed under the name Phycisphaeraceae bacterium. RNAcentral describes it as "tRNA-Val". It matches the Rfam family "tRNA". Rfam says of the family: Transfer RNA (tRNA) molecules are approximately 80 nucleotides in length. Their secondary structure includes four short double-helical elements and three loops (D, anti-codon, and T loops). Further hydrogen bonds mediate the characteristic L-shaped molecular structure. tRNAs have two regions of fundamental functional importance: the anti-codon, which is responsible for specific mRNA codon recognition, and the 3' end, to which the tRNAs corresponding amino acid is attached (by aminoacyl-tRNA synthetases). tRNAs cope with the degeneracy of the genetic code in two manners: having more than one tRNA (with a specific anti-codon) for a particular amino acid; and 'wobble' base-pairing, i.e. permitting non-standard base-pairing at the 3rd anti-codon position. Lineage: Bacteria; Pseudomonadati; Planctomycetota; Phycisphaerae; Phycisphaerales; Phycisphaeraceae. RNAcentral also lists the same sequence under 1 other name. The record is from RNAcentral.
GGGCGUAUAGCUCAGUUGGCUAGAGCGCUGCUGUCACAUAGCAGAGGUCACAGGUUCGAGUCCUGUUACGCCCA